UACGGAGGAUCCGAGCGUUAUCCGGAUUUAUUGGGUUUAAAGGGUGCGUAGGUGGAUUGGUAAGUCAGUGGUGAAAGUUUGCAGCUUAACUGUAACAGUGCCGUUGAUACUGGGGAGCUAGGAUUUGGUUGCUGUGGGUGGAUGUGUGGUGUAGCGGUGAAAUGCUUAGAGAUCACACAGAAUAUCGAUUGCGAAGGCAGCUCACAAAGCCAAGAUUGACGCUGAGGCACGAAAGUGUGUGGAUCAAACAGGA
Molecule: ribosomal RNA, 253 nt
Filed under: uncultured prokaryote
Description: partial 16S ribosomal RNA
Rfam family: Bacterial small subunit ribosomal RNA
Source: RNAcentral